AAAAUUUAAAAUAAACAGAGCAAGGGCAAAAGCAGCUAGUAUUUGCUUUUUUUAACUAUAGUAGGUAAAAUGAUGAAUAAGCUCUUGUUUAACAUCCAAGCUUUUCUCCCUUUAAUCUCACAUUAAUUAUUGUAUUUAAAGGCU
Molecule: long non-coding RNA, 144 nt
Organism: Etheostoma cragini (Arkansas darter)
Lineage: Eukaryota; Metazoa; Chordata; Actinopteri; Perciformes; Percidae
Exons: 3
Source: RefSeq, a predicted model, not a curated record